CGAAUUCCUCCCUGACUGGCGGCGCUUCCCCCUUCCUGUAAAGCUCCAGCGCUGGGAGUCCUGCCGUUUCCUCCCGUGGUGGCGGGGGAAGGGGGACGUGUGGCACAUCCCCAGUGUCGAGGGGUGCUAGGGCUCGGUUCCGCCAGGCCUAGGAGAAGGGUGAAAACCUUCAGGCCGCUUUUAGCAAAAGCAGCUAGCUCAGGGCAGGAGAGGUCAUGCUUGUCUCAAGCGCCCGGAGAGAGGGCAGCCACCUGCGGCCCUGGGGACCUGCAGCAGUGGCCCAGGAGCCUGUGAGUCCAGAAAACAUAAGGCAGUGCUGGACAACUGCAGCUCUAUGUUUUAAGUACUGUGACAGUGAAUUGCUGAGCAAGAGAGAACAUUCCGAGUCCCAAAAUAGAAGGCAGUCAAGCAUGGAUGUGUGAUAAUGAUUUCUUCAUAGAAACCCAUGACAAAUGGAAGGAAGUGAUGAGUUGACAACAGAUGCUGAUUCUGCACCAGAAGGCUCACAGUGGACAACUUUGAUUCACUUCAGAGUGUAUUCAGUUGAGAAAGAGAAACUAAGAAGGUGGAUCAGAAACAGAAUUGGAGCUAUUUUAUCUGGACCUAAUUAAACAACCUUCAUUACUGGCAGCUCCUGGAACAUAAAAAAAUCUGUGUGAAGCUAGCUGAGAGUUUUGCAAGCGUAUCUGAAUGGCGAAUCAACUGAGCUCCUUAUAAAACUGUGUAGGACCAGACUGGAACUUCAAAUGUGUGCAGACACAGCCUUCCUGCAGAGAUGGUGAGAGGAGUACUGCAGAAACUCUCCUUCCGCACUGGGACUAAUUCAGAAGCAGUGUGCGAUUGUGAACAUCUGACCUGCAAUUCCACCUCCAAUGCAGAGGAAAAGGGACAUUUGUGCAGACUGUUUCUGGUCACCUAUGCUAAGCAGCUCCCUGGCUCCUGCAGAUGCAAACAUUUGAAUUUCCUGUUGGCUCAGAGUGUUUGCAUUGCAAGUGACAUCUGGCUGACAGGAACUUGGAGAAAUGGGAUAUGAAGUGAAUGCUGCAGUUACCACAGCAUCGUAUUUAUCAAAAGGCUUAAGGAUCCUAAAAAGAGACCUGUGUUACGAGAUAAUGGACUUCCUGGGAAUGACUGUUAUGCCCCUCUCUUCUUGAAAGAGGACUGUCUGCUGCAUUUCCACUCUUCAGAUACCUGAUGUAUUACUUCAGCAGCAAAUUCAACAAGGCCAAGAUGUCUUCAUUUUCCUUCAGAGCAAGAACUGUAAGAGCAGUAUUACAGGAGUAUUGGUCUUCUGUGGCCAGCCAGCAAGAACCCAUCAACAGCUGUGAUGAGCAGAGCAGACAUGGGGAGACGGGAGGCAGCUGAAGCCAAAGAGGACCCAUGCCUGGAGCUGUGUGUGUGAUUGGAGCAGAGAGGCCAGGACCCAAGGAAAUCCCAGCAGCAAGGGAAAAAAACAGAUUGACUCUCAGUGACUCAUUUAGCUCCUGGAUUGGACAGAUCUCUCCCCUGCUGGCAAUUUGGCAGAGCAUCAAUGGACAGAUACCAGGAUGAAUAGCUUAAAAUAAUUAGGGGUUGGGAAUCUGCAAAACUGCUAGCCAUCCAGUUCUUUACUGUGCAAUGCGAGGCACAAAAAAGAAAUUACAUUUAGGUUAUUAAAUAUUAAGUCAGUGGAUUUACCUCCAUUUGGUCCAGAACAGGAAACUGGCUAAAAUUCAACAUUUGUAUCAUUGUGUUGAUGGCCUGUUUAUCACUGAACAAGUGAGUGUCUUUUGGCAGGUCAAGCUCUUUGACACAUGGUGCGAAUGUGUGCUUAGUUUCUCACAAAAAGAAGAAUUAAUAUAAUAAUAAUUAACACAGAUGAGAACACAGAAUUAAAAUCAAGUACAGUCAAGAGUUCAGUUUAAUGCCAGGUAUCUCACAUUCUAGAUGUUGUGGGGGCAGAUUUUUUCCCGUUGAAGAUAGUGAGAUUUGCCAUUGGCACUGAUGAGAGCCAGAGUGGGUCUUGAAUGCUGAGAGACAGGAUUCCCUGUACUUUCUGUUUAAUGCUCAAAACCAGAAGCAACAGGCUCAUUUAGUAUCAGUAAAGGUCAGUUAAAAUUAUAGAGACAUCCUUUGGAGCAAAUCCUCUGCCUUGUAUUUGCAUAUUUAUGAACUGGAGAUUACGACAGGCUAUUCCAUUUAUUAGAGCAGUGUCGCUAUAGUUAAUAGUCUGUCAGUAUUUCCAUUAUAAACCCCGUUUUUCAGUGUUUUAAUAUCUCAGCCAUUUUAAAUCACAUCAGGAAGCAAGUCGGUCUUUUGUUGUCAGCCAGGUGCAAUUUUUUGUUUUGGAUAAUUUUCAGUAAUCAAAUACUGUUCAUCAGAAAUGUAUAUGAGCCACAUCAUUUCUUUUUGGGGAACUAGCAAAGUGCUUAAGUUCAUUGCAGCUUUGUUUUUCUUUAGAAAAGAAGGAAAAGGAAAGAUUUGACCAAUCAUGUCAACUGGGGCUUCACAUUUGAAGAAUAGCUUCUCAAUUAACUGCUCUCAGAAGAAACACUGGUUCUCAACGUGAAAUCAGGUGGCUGUAUGCUUGCCAGCAGUGACCAAGGCACACAGAUGAGGAUGACUUCCCCGUCCCUCAGAAAUGUCUUGUCUGCCGGAGUCAUGGGCAAAGCACACCAGGUGUUUCCAGAGCUACUAUGUCUGCACAAGUUCCAGAAACCUCAUGAUGAAGUGACUGCUUUCACAUCUCGGAUUCAAGCCCCUUAAAGGAUUUGAGGAAAACUCUUCAGUGCUGUGGGCAAUGAAGAACAAAUGUGACCAUUUAGAAUGGUGAGGAAGAAGAGCUUUCAGAGCUAACUAAGAGUUAACUGACUACGUUUCAACUGUUACCGUUGUCAUAUCUACAUAGAGAGCAGAAGAGAACUGGAGAGAUUUGAUUAGCUGGCACCUGCCCUCUAUUGAAAGAUGAUCACAAUGCACCUGAAGAAUUGCAGUAAUAAGCCAGUCAAGAGGCUUUCCAGGAUGGACCCAUAGAGACUGCAGUCUGGAUCAAUAGUGUCCUUCUCUCAAGUGGAUGAUUGUUCUUCAGCUUUUGGCCAAGGUCAGACAGGUACUUAGCACUUCUGAAAUGCAAACUCAAGGCAGGUUGUGUUGAACAUCUAAGCUUGGAGAAGACUGUCGGGAAAGCUGAUGGAAAUGAUGUGCUUAAAUAUUAGUGUCUCCCAAGCGAAGAAGUGGCAUGGACCCCUGGCAAGGUGACAGCGGCAGAGGGAGAACCACUGGACAAGUCCUCCCUUACAGUGCUGGAUGUGCUUGUUCUUGCUGGCCAGGUCCCUGAGGAGCCACAAUGAACAGCUCCUCAAGCAAUCAGUGUAACUAUUGACUGACCUGAGGGCAGUCCCCAACCCACUGUGGGUUUGGCAGGAUCCCUGGAAGAGGCAGGGGAUGAGCUGGUUGGAGGCUGAUGAAGAUUUGGAUGUGAAGGGACACAGAUCCCCCUAAGGAGCUAUCAGGAGAAUGGAGAUGAAGCACAUCCAUGAAAAGGCUGGCUGGUUGGGAUCACAUCCGUGAAGAAACAUGCUCACUGACAAGCAGGUUAGAGAAGAAACAGCACUUGGCUACCCAUGGCAUGGAUUUCAAGUCAACCACGAAUGGCUCCGAGCUUGGCAGGGGACUCGGGCAGCGGCUGGUGGGUUCUGAGGGGGAAGGAGCACUGUGGCUUCCCAGGAAUGUUGCAGGCAAACCCUGGAUGUGCACAGGUGCCUACAGCCAUGAGCUCUGCAAGCCACAUCCAACUGUACUUCUUCACGUUCUGUGUUCCUCACCAUAUCUGCUGCUUUUAUUACGACUAAAUCAUUUUUAUGUUUUGCUAAGGCAUAGUAAGAAACUGAUAAAACUAAGUGAUAAUUUAGACAGCUAUUUGAAGUUACAUUAAACUUUACAUUCAUAGAAGACAAGUGGAUAAACCAGUCUCAAAAAGGUAAACCUUUUACUACAGUGUAUAAAGAUAAAUGGUUUUCCCUAUAUUUUGAAAUGGGAUACCUACAAAUAUUAAUGUAACAGAUUCCCUGCUAGCCAGUCUGUAUUACAGAUUUGUUUCAUUAAAAUUCACAACAGUAUAAAUCUAUGAAUCUUUAACUGUAUUUGUACUUCCUUGAGCAGAGGCUGCACAUCCUCUUAAGAUCUUCCGAUCUUAAUUAUCUUUGUUCUUCUAACUAUAUAGGACUUCUGUACUCAACUCUCUCAUCACCUCGAUUGACAAAUUAAGUAAAUAAAGAAGUCUGGUUUAUUUUGAUGUAAUUAAAUUCACUGUGUAAGACUUGAAAGAAUAUUUAAAAUUAAUCAGUAAAUUUAGGCAGAGAAAAAAAACCCCAAACAAACAGAUACUGAAACGCAGCAACACAAAAAAAAAAUAAUGGAAAUUAAAAACCAGUUUGUGUUCUCUUAGACCUAUUCCUCCACUAAGUAAAAGCACUAAAAAAAUAUUCUGUACAUUGCAGAAUAGAUCAGCCUAGCAUUUGUCCCAGAUUUUUUUAAUCUCCCAAAUUCCUAUUUGCAGAUAAAUGUUAUUUUUUGUGAUCCUUACAGACAUUAAUGAAGUUCCUAUUGUAAAUCUAUAAAGAAUUACCAACUGAAGUGUGCACUUUUUGUUUCAUUGCAAUAACUCAGUGCUGUGUGAUUGCCUGGGUUAAUGAUGAAAAAGUCAAAUAUACUAUCAGAGCUGAUGGAAAAAUCUAUCACCAAUCUGAAAUUAAAAUUCAUCUGUGGUCAAUAAGAUUUAAUAUCCAUGCAAGUGGCGCUGUAAAGAGUAAAUGAAUCAAUGUCAUCAAUACAUAAUCAGUAUGAAAUAUGAUGUGAAUACAAUUAUGUGCAAGAGUCAUACAUUCACUCUUUUCUGGACCAGGGUGGAAUGAACAGUCUCUUAACUCAAGGUUGACAGUAAUUGUUACAAAUUAGGCACAGCAGUUAUCAAAAUGCACUCACUUGCAUAGCUUUAGGACUUAUUAAGGAGAUUAAAAUAGAUCUAAAACUAUCUAGUUUCAGAGUUACAGGACAACUGUUGAGCAGAAAAUUUUUUUCUUGUUCUCUACAUGAUUCGUACAGUCAUUAUUUACUUAUUUAGCUAGAAACCAAGAGCUAUCAACCACAGAGAUGCACAAUCUCUAGUUGAGCUAUUAGUGUUAUGGAGUGAUAAGAAAAUAGCAGUUUGGUUUUUAAAUCUGAGUUAUGACAUACAAAACAGACAAGAAAAUACUUCUGAAAGAGAACUCCAGCAUGCUCCCUCAUCUAAAACCUUAAUAUUAAAGUGAAAUACAUUCAUUUACUUCAGGAACCUUCUCUUCACAAGACAUUUAUUUCCAUAUUAAAGUAUCUAAUUUUCCUCCCACAGAAUCCUGCUCCCUUGUAGCCUUUAAUUGAAAAUUAUAAAAUAAAAUACUUCUCUUUGUUAAGAGUUUAUAUUAAUGUAUGCUCUCCAUUUCACUUUGUACAUAAGGAGUUCAACAGCUGUACAGGUGCUCAUGCCCAAACCAAAGGAAACUGACUUACCCUGUAUGUCAUAUUUAAAUGGUUAGUAUUUU
Apus apus (common swift) is the source of this 5558-nucleotide long non-coding RNA. RefSeq lists it as uncharacterized. The record is from RefSeq and is a predicted model, not a curated record. Lineage: Eukaryota; Metazoa; Chordata; Aves; Apodiformes; Apodidae. The transcript has 22 exons.